Nicotiana tabacum (common tobacco) is the source of this 1769-nucleotide long non-coding RNA. RefSeq lists it as uncharacterized. NCBI's taxonomy places the organism in Eukaryota, Viridiplantae, Streptophyta, Magnoliopsida, Solanales, Solanaceae. The record is from RefSeq and is a predicted model, not a curated record.
CAUGGCACGCCACAAGUACUCGCAUCAUGAGAGGCCUCAGCGUCCUUAGGGAAGCCUUAAUUUUCGGAGGCAGUGAAUGGAGGGCAUUGCGAGUCCAUAUUGCGACAACUGGAACUGCUUAUUUGAGAGUCCUCACAUUUCAAAACCCUUCAAACCCUCCCUUUUCACUCAUGUCUCUCUCUCACACUUGUCCGUCUAACACCAUUGCUACCACCCUUCUCAUUUACCGACAAAUAGAUAAUAGGGUGAAUUUUCUGGAAUUUGGGGGAUACUAAAUUCCUGAUUGUUUGGCUGUUGAUUAAAGUGAAGUGGAGAACUACAUUCCCACCACCUCAUUCAAUUUGGGAUGGUAUUCAAGGCUCAAAAGAUAUGAAACAAGUAAGGAAAAACUGAUGCACACAAAGUGUUUGACAAAUUGCUCGAAAGAAGCUUUCAAUAGGUUUUGUGAACACUCUAUAUAAGGGAAAUGUAAGUUAUCCUUUAAGUGUGGGAUGUUCGUGUGGGUGAUUUUAUACUUAAUUUGCAUUCAGUUAGAUUGAAUUCCACCACACAACGACUUAGGCACAAUUCUCGCAUCGCCUUCACCCACUAUGAUAUGGCUGCUCGCGUCUCAUUUAACACAAUUAUUCCACAGGCUAAGUGUGGGGUGUAACGCAUGAUAUUAUGACACAUUGACGAUACAUCUACUAAUAUUGAUACUUUGCUUAUGCAUGUGUGAUGGUGAUUACAAAGACCAACGCACAAUCAUGGGGGUGGAGAUGGUAAGCCUCCACCCAAGAAGACACUGACUGAUAAAAAUGCACCUAGGGAGAAGGGUAAAGAAGUGAUAACCAAAACGCUGCAUGAAUCAGAGGCUAAUGGGACGCCUGAGGUGGGCAUUGAAGCCACCUAGUAGAGCACUGAGUUGCACGUAACAACACAAACUAGGGCAUGACCACCUUGAUUUACUACCACAUGAGAUCGUAUUUCAAAUUCGUGAAGGAGCAUCAAGAACCCCUCCAGAAAAUAAGUGGAAAACAAAUGAGGUGUAAGGACAUGGAGGAUAACUUUGCAUAUAAAGAUGCAUGGAAGUUGUGGGAUAGUAUUCUGCAGAAAUAAGUCAAUCCAUUGGUUCUUGAGAAACCACUAAAUUUGAAUGCUACAAAUAGAGUGUGCCCGGGAAUUGCUGCGGAGAUUGAGGAGAGAUGAUGGGUACACUUCGCUCAAGGAACAAAACAAAAGGCUAACCUGACUCUCAUAAGGGAGUUUUAUUCAAGGCUGCAUCCAAACCAGGGUGACAUUGUUUGGAUGCAAGGGGUAGACGUGGAUGUUUUAGCCCAAACGAUCAAUAAAUAUUACUGGGACAAUUAGCAAGCGGUGUCCGAUUAUUGGAGAAAGGAGAAACGUCUUCUCCUGGACCAUAUGUUGCACCCUAUUUUGCACAGGUCAAAACAAGAUUCAACUAGUGGUUCUUCUGAUGUUGCUAAAAAAGAGCCGCCACCUAAUAUUUUGAGGUAAAUUAGGGUACUUAUGUUUUAUUAGAUUAUUAUCCUAUUGGUCUUCUAACCGGUGAGAUUUGGGUAAUGGUUCUUGUUCUUUUAAGGGGAAGAUGUUAGGCACCCCCUAAAAUCUACUUGAGGUAGCUCCUUAGAACUUAGGUUAGGUUCAGGGAAGUAAAGAUCUAUAUUCUGCUAAGUUUAGUGCUUUAAAGUUUGUAACCUAUCCUAAGUCUUGUUUAAAGUCCACGAUUUUUUGAAAGAAAGUAGUGUAUAUACAUACUUUGAAAAGGA